UAAUACGAGGGGAGCUAGCGUUGUUCGGAAUUACUGGGCGUAAAGCGCGCGUAGGCGGCUUUUUAAGUCAGAGGUGAAAGCCCGGGGCUCAACCCCGGAAUAGCCUUUGAAACUGGAAAGCUAGAAUCUUGGAGAGGUCAGUGGAAUUCCGAGUGUAGAGGUGAAAUUCGUAGAUAUUCGGAAGAACACCAGUGGCGAAGGCGACUGACUGGACAAGUAUUGACGCUGAGGUGCGAAAGCGUGGGGAGCAAACAGG
RNAcentral lists this ribosomal RNA (256 nucleotides) under uncultured bacterium. RNAcentral describes it as "partial 16S ribosomal RNA". It matches the Rfam family "Bacterial small subunit ribosomal RNA", at positions 521 to 776 of the family's 1533-position model. The record is from RNAcentral.